Molecule: ribosomal RNA, 429 nt
Filed under: Chloroflexota bacterium
Lineage: Bacteria; Bacillati; Chloroflexota
Description: Chloroflexi bacterium partial 16S ribosomal RNA
Rfam family: Bacterial small subunit ribosomal RNA
Source: RNAcentral
UGGGGAAUAUUGCACAAUGGGCGCAAGCCUGAUGCAGCCAUGCCGCGUGUAUGAAGAAGGCCUUCGGGUUGUAAAGUACUUUCAGUCGGGAGGAAGGUGGUAAGGUUAAUAACCUUGGCAAUUGACGUUACCGACAGAAGAAGCACCGGCUAACUCCGUGCCAGCAGCCGCGGUAAUACGGAGGGUGCAAGCGUUAAUCGGAAUUACUGGGCGUAAAGCGCACGCAGGCGGUUGAUUGAGUCAGAUGUGAAAUCCCCGGGCUUAACCCGGGAAUUGCAUCUGAUACUGGUCAGCUAGAGUCUUGUAGAGGGGGGUAGAAUUCCAUGUGUAGCGAUGAAAUGCGUAGAGAUGUGGAGGAAUACCGGUGGCGAAGGCGGCCCCCUGGACAAAGACUGACGCGCAGGUGCGAAAGCGUGGGGAGCAAACAGG